Non-coding RNA from Rhinopithecus bieti (black snub-nosed monkey), 215 nucleotides. NCBI's taxonomy places the organism in Eukaryota, Metazoa, Chordata, Mammalia, Primates, Cercopithecidae. The record is from Ensembl.
AGUCACCUUUGAAAAAGGCAGGUCCCCCAGCAGCCCAUUUUUUUUUUCCUCCUAUCACAUUUAAGUCAUGUGUAUGGGAUCAUGAAGCAGGUGAUAAUUUGGGAUUUUGUCAGUGUGUGUUUCUGAGAGUGAAUACAGAACCAGUUACACAGGAGAUUGAGGAGUGGCUGUCAUGGCUGUGACAGUGCAUGAUCUCAAGGUUUCAAUCUGCGACC